UACGUAGGGCGCAAGCGUUUGUCCGGAAUUAUUGGGCGUAAAGAGCUCGUAGGUGGUUUGUUACGUCUGCUGUGAAAACCUAGGGCUUAACCCUGGGCCUGCAGUGGAUACGGGCAGACUAGAGGUAGGUAGGGGAGAAUGGAAUUCCCGGUGUAGCGGUGAAAUGCGCAGAUAUCGGGAGGAACACCGGUGGCGAAGGCGGUUCUCUGGGCCUGUACUGACGCUGAGGAGCGAAAGCGUGGGGAGCGAACAGG
Molecule: ribosomal RNA, 254 nt
Filed under: uncultured bacterium
Lineage: Bacteria
Description: partial 16S ribosomal RNA
Rfam family: Bacterial small subunit ribosomal RNA
Source: RNAcentral